GCCACCCGCUGUCUGCGUGGGCCUCGUGGGAAAGCUGAGGACUGGGGUGGGCCCAACAACCAGCCUGCAGCCCCUGUCUCCGUGUUGGUGCCCCGCUCUGUGCAGUGGACCCCGACCCUCCAGGGGCCCUGGGCAGUGUUUUCCUGGGGCCGGCGCGCUUUGCUCUGGAGCCUGAGGACCAGGAUCUGGGGAUAUCCAAACCUUCCAGACCGGCCCGUACACCAGUCCUCUGACCCAGGCCUCAGCCAGGCCUGUGCCUCCCCCCACCUGCCACCUGCCUGGCCACUGCACAGGACCUUCCGGGUCUCCUUGCCUGCUGUGAAAACAUGACGUGCUUUAGGCUGACGUCUCGCAUACUUGGAAGGACAUACACACAAUGUAUGUGCAAUUUAAAUAAUGAUAAAGCCCCUUGUAUUUUAACGAAUUGAAGGAUAAGCAACAGUCUUCAAAGUCUGGUGGGACUGACUCCAAAAGCAUCUCCUAUCUGCCCUGCUAUUCAAGGUCUCUUUUAUCCCAAGUGUUCCUCUUACUGUUGCUCUUGCUUUUCCUUAUAGUUUACCUGCUUUAAUCCUCUACGGAAAAGCGAAGUGGUUCUUUGAUAUAUUCUUCCCUGCUGCUCCCCCUUUUUAAAUCAGCAUUAAGUGUUUGUGCAGCUGAAGGUCUGCAGCAUGCUGUGUGGACGCACCAGCCUUUCGAUGGAUAUGUGCAUGAACUCCAGAUAUUCUGCUAGAGAAAACAGUGCUUCUACGAACAUUCUUAAACUUGUCUCUUGAUGCAGAGAAUGUGCUAUGAAGAAAACUGCUGGGGCAUGUGCUCAGAUCAUCCGCAUUUUUACUAAAUAGCCACUUUCCAAUUUUCAAGGAGUUUUUACCCAUUGUACUAUCCUACCAGUAGCAAGCAUGAGUUCUUAUUGCUCCACUUCUUCACCAAGACCUUGUGUGUUUAGACUCUUUAUUCUUGCCAGUGUGGUACGAUGAAGCAGUGCUUCAUUCGGAUUGAAUCCUCGUUUCUCUGAAGACUGAUGACGUUAAGCAUUUUAUGUGGACCAAUGUCACACUUCCUCAGCUCUCUUAUCACGGAGUCUUUCAAGUACAGGGCCAGGAAGCAAUGCCCAUUUCCCCACGGGAAGAAUCCAUCAUUCCCACCCCUGACUGAGCACACUGGCCUGUUCUCAGGGUGUCUGCACAAGGCUGGGUCUGGUUCAUCAGCUCCAACACUAGCGCUAUUCUGACUCAGUUACUGUCCUAUGAGACUAACCAAAGCACAGCCAGCCAGGUGUCCUCACUCUGUGCUUUUUUAGGAGUUUCUUGGCUACUCUUGACCUUGUACUCUUCUGGGUAUGUUUUGGAAUUACUUCAUGGGCUCCUUGAAAUAGACUGGACUGGAUCCCAUUGUCUCAACUCUUUGGGGGAUAAUCGCCAUCUUGAAGAUCAUGAAUAUUUCUCUGGAAGCAGAUGAUGUAUCUCUAUUUAAGAGACGGAAGGAGGAGAGAGGAAGGAGAGGUAAAAAGGAUUAAGAUGCAUUACGUACAUGCACUAACUCCCCAUGGUGAGGAGAGUAAUCAUUAUGUACUGCCAACGUGUACUAAUAAACAUAAAAAUUUAGAA
Chinchilla lanigera (long-tailed chinchilla) is the source of this 1607-nucleotide long non-coding RNA. RefSeq lists it as uncharacterized. The record is from RefSeq and is a predicted model, not a curated record. The transcript is spliced from 3 exons. Lineage: Eukaryota; Metazoa; Chordata; Mammalia; Rodentia; Chinchillidae.